Molecule: ribosomal RNA, 723 nt
Filed under: Escherichia coli
Lineage: Bacteria; Pseudomonadati; Pseudomonadota; Gammaproteobacteria; Enterobacterales; Enterobacteriaceae
Description: partial 23S ribosomal RNA
Rfam family: Bacterial large subunit ribosomal RNA
Source: RNAcentral
GUACGUACAAGCAGUGGGAGCACGCUUCGGCGUGUGACUGCGUACCUUUUGUAUAAUGGGUCAGCGACUUAUAUUCUGUAGCAAGGUUAACCGAAUAGGGGAGCCGAAGGGAAACCGAGUCUUAACUGGGCGUUAAGUUGCAGGGUAUAGACCCGAAACCCGGUGAUCUAGCCAUGGGCAGGUUGAAGGUUGGGUAACACUAACUGGAGGACCGAACCGACUAAUGUUGAAAAAUUAGCGGAUGACUUGUGGCUGGGGGUGAAAGGCCAAUCAAACCGGGAGAUAGCUGGUUCUCCCCGAAAGCUAUUUAGGUAGCGCCUCGUGAAUUCAUCUCCGGGGGUAGAGCACUGUUUCGGCAAGGGGGUCAUCCCGACUUACCAACCCGAUGCAAACUGCGAAUACCGGAGAAUGUUAUCACGGGAGACACACGGCGGGUGCUAACGUCCGUCGUGAAGAGGGAAACAACCCAGACCGCCAGCUAAGGUCCCAAAGUCAUGGUUAAGUGGGAAACGAUGUGGGAAGGCCCAGACAGCCAGGAUGUUGGCUUAGAAGCAGCCAUCAUUUAAAGAAAGCGUAAUAGCUCACUGGUCGAGUCGGCCUGCGCGGAAGAUGUAACGGGGCUAAACCAUGCACCGAAGCUGCGGCAGCGACGCUGAUGCGUUGUUGGGUAGGGGAGCGUUCUGUAAGCCUGUGAAGGUGUGCUGUGAGGCAUGCUGGAGGUAU